CGGGGUAUAGCUCAGCUUGGCUAGAGUGCAUGAUUUGGGAUCAUGAGGCCGCAGGUUCGAAUCCUGUUACCCCGA
RNAcentral lists this transfer RNA (75 nucleotides) under Eubacterium sp. RNAcentral describes it as "tRNA-Pro". It matches the Rfam family "tRNA". From Rfam's summary of the family: Transfer RNA (tRNA) molecules are approximately 80 nucleotides in length. The record is from RNAcentral. Lineage: Bacteria; Bacillati; Bacillota; Clostridia; Eubacteriales; Eubacteriaceae.